RNAcentral lists this ribosomal RNA (469 nucleotides) under uncultured bacterium. Its description in RNAcentral is "bacterial SSU rRNA". It matches the Rfam family "Bacterial small subunit ribosomal RNA", at positions 28 to 491 of the family's 1533-position model. The record is from RNAcentral.
GAUGAACGCUAGCGGCAGGCUUAACACAUGCAAGUCGAGGGGCAGCACGGGUAGCAAUACCUGGUGGCGACCGGCGCAAGGGUGCGUAACGCGUGAGCAACAUGCCCUAUACAGGGGGAUAAUCCAGGGAAACUUGGUCUAAUAUCCCAUAGUAUUUAGAGGAGGCAUCUUCUAUAAAUUAAAGCUUCGGUGGUAUAGGAUUGGCUCGCGUGACAUUAGCUAGAUGGUGAGGUAACGGCUCACCAUGGCAAUGAUGUCUAGGGGUUCUGAGAGGAAGGCCCCCCACACUGGGACUGAGACACGGCCCAGACUCCUACGGGAGGCAGCAGUGAGGAAUAUUGGACAAUGGAUGGAAAUCUGAUCCAGCCAUGCCGCGUGCAGGAAGACAGCCCCUAUGGGUUGUAAACUGCUUUUAUAUGGGAGCAAUAAGGUCUACGUGUAGACUGAUGAGAGUACCAUAUGAAUAAGC